This 3034-nucleotide long non-coding RNA is filed under the name Malus domestica (apple). RNAcentral's name for it is "long non-coding RNA (MDOM_LNC003585)". The record is from RNAcentral. Lineage: Eukaryota; Viridiplantae; Streptophyta; Magnoliopsida; Rosales; Rosaceae.
AAUUAUACAUACAAAAUAAAUAGAUUUAAAUCUACUUAAUAAAUAAAUAUAUAUAUAUACACACACACCAUUGAACUUCAUGGGAUACGAAUUAUACGAAACUAAUUUCAACGAUCCAACCGUCAAACAUGUUUGUAUAUACUUCGAGAUCGCAUACGCCAAAAAUUGCAAAACACAAACAUUCAGAGAGCAAGUAACGGGACAAAACUUUUCGACAGUUAUAAACGAAAAAUCACGAUUUAACUGUCAUUUUAACUCUGAUUUUGAUGAUUUUUUGCAAUCACACUCCUUGACCCUAUAUGAAUACAAUGAUUGAAUUCGAUCUUCAAUUUAAAAUAUUUACACUAGUGGAUAUCACAAAAUCUUAUGUUAUACUUAAUAAAAGUAUGAAUAAACUCUUAAGUAUUAGUGAAUCUAUUGUUUUAAUGGGAUACUCAUUCUACGAAACUAGUUUCAAUGAUCCAACCGUCAAACAUGUUUGUAUAUACUUCGAGAUCGCAUACGCCAAAAAUUUGAAAAAAACAAACAUUCAGAGAUCAAGUAAUGGGACAAAAGUUUUCGACGGUUAUAACUUAUAAACGAAAAAUCACGAUUUAACGGUUAUUUUAACUCCGAUUUUGAUGAUUUUUUACAACUACACUCCUUGACCCUAUAUGAAUACAAGUAAUGAAUUCGAUCUUUAAUUUAAAAUAUUUACACUAGUGGAUACCACAAAAUCUUAUGUUAUACUUAAUAGAAGUAUGAAUAAAUUAUUAAGUAUUAGUGAAUUUAUUGUUUUGAUGGGAUACUCAUUCUACGAAACUAGUUUCAAAGAUUCAACCGUCAAACAUGUUUGUAUAUACUUCAAGAUCGCAUACGUCAAAAAUUACAAAAAACAAACAUUCAGAAAUCAAUUAACGGGACAAAACUUUUCGACGGUUAUAAAAAGAAAAAUCAUGAUUUAACGGUCAUUUUAACUCUGAUUUUGAUGAUUUUUUGCAGCUACACUCCUUGACCUUAUAUGAAUACAAUGAUUGAAUUCGAUCUUCAAUUUAAAAUAUUUACACUAGUGGAUACCACAAAAUCUUAUAUUAUACUUAAUAAAAGUAUGAAUAAACUAUUAAGUAUUAGUGAAUCUAUUGUUUUGAUGGGAUACUCAUUCUACGAAACUAGUUUCAAUGAUCCAACCGUCAAACAUGUUUAUAUAUACUUCGAGAUCGCAUACACCAAAAAUUGCAAAAAAAAAACAAACAUUCAGAGAUCAAGUAACGGGACAAAAACUUUUCGACGGUUAUAAACGAAAAAAAUCACGAUUUAACGGUCAUUUUAACUCCGAUUUUGAUGAUUUUUUACAACUACACUCCUUGACCCUAUAUGAAUACAAUGAUUGAAUUCGAUCUUCAAUUUAAAAUAUUUACACUAGUGGAUACCACAAAAUCUUAUGUUAUACUUAAUAAAAAUAUGAAUAAACUCUUAAGUAUUAGUGAAUCUAUUGUUUUGAUGCAAUACUCAUUCUACGAAACUAGUUUCAAUGAUCCAACCGUCAAACAUGUUUUUAUAUAUUUCGAGAUCGCAUACGCCAAAAAUUGCAAAAAAACAAACAUUCAGAGAGCAAGUAACGGGACAAAACUUUUCGACGGUUAUAAACGAAAAAUCACGAUUUAACGGUUAAUUUAACUCCGAUUUUGAUGAUUUUUUACAACUACACUCCUUGACCUUAUAUGAAUACAAUGAUUGAAUUCGAUCUUCAAUUUAAAAUAUUUACACUAGUGGAUACCACAAAAUCUUAUGUUAUACUUAAUAAAAGUAUGAAUAAACUCUUAAGUAUUAGUGAAUCUAUUGUUUUAAUGGGAUACUCAUUAUACGAAACUAGUUUCAAUGAUCCAACCGUCAAACAUGUUUGUAUAUAUUUCAAGAUCGCAUACGCCAAAAAUUGCAAAAAAAAAACAUUUAGAGAGCAAGUAACGGGACAAAACGUUUCGACGGUUAUAAACGAAAAAUCAUGAUUUAACGGUUAAUUUAACUCCGAUUUUGAUGAUUUUUUACAACUACACUCCUUGACCUUAUAUGAAUACAAUGAUUGAAUUCGAUCUUCAAUUUAAAAUAUUUACACUAGUGGAUACCACAAAAUCUUAUGUUAUACUUAAUAAAAGUAUGAAUAAACUAUUAAGUAUUAGUGAAUCCAUUGUUUUGAUGAGAUGCUCAUUCUACGAAACUAGUUUCAAAGAUCCAACCGUCAAACAUGUUUGUAUAUACUUCGAGAUCGCAUACGUCAAAAAUUUCAAAAAACAAACAUUCAGAGAUCAAUUAACGGGACAAAACUUUUCGACGGUUAUAAAAAGAAAAAUCACGAUUUAACGGUCAUUUUAACUCUGAUUUUGAUGAUUUUUUGCAGCUGCACUCCUUGACCUUAUAUGAAUACAAUGAUUGAAUUCGAUCUUCAAUUUAAAAUAUUACACUAGUGGAUACCACAAAAUCUUAUAUUAUACUUAAUAAAAGUAUGAAUAAACUAUUAAGUAUUAGUAAAUCUAUUGUUUUGAUGGGAUACUCAUUCUACGAAACUAGUUUCAAAGAUCCAACCGUCAAACAUGUUUGUAUAUACUUCGAGAUCGCAUACGUCAAAAAUUAAAAAAAACAAACAUUCAGAGAUCAAGUAAAGGGACAAAACGUUUCGACGGUUAUAAACGAAAAAUCACGAUUUAACGGUCAUUUUAACUCCGAUUUUGAUGUUUUUUUACAACCACAGUCCUUGACCCUAUAUGAAUACAAUGAUUGAAUUUGAUCUUCAAUUUAAAAUAUUUACACUAGUGGAUACCACAAAAUCUUAUAUUAUACUUAAUAAAAGUAUAAAUAAACUAUUAAGUAUUAGUGAAUCUAUUGUUUUGAUGGGAUACUCAUUAUACGAAACUAGUUUCAAGGAUCCAACCGUCAAACAUGUUUAUAUAUACUUCGAGAUUGCAUACGCCAAAAAUUGAAAAAACAAACAUUCAGAGAUCAAGUAACGGGACAAAACAUUUCGACGGUUAUAAACGAAAAAUCACGAUUUAACGGUCAU